UACAGAGGGUGCGAGCGUUGUCCGGAAUCACUGGGCUUAAAGGGCGCGUAGGCGGGUUGCCAAGUCUGUGGUGAAAUCCUCCAGCUUAACUGGAGAACGGCCGUGGAUACUGGCGACCUCGAGGGGGGUAGGGGCUUGCGGAACUGUGCGUGGAGCGGUGAAAUGCGUUGAUAUGCACAGGAACUCCGGUGGCGAAGGCGGCGAGCUGGACCCUUUCUGACGCUGAGGCGCGAAAGCCAGGGGAGCGAACGGG
Molecule: ribosomal RNA, 253 nt
Filed under: uncultured bacterium
Lineage: Bacteria
Description: partial 16S ribosomal RNA
Rfam family: Bacterial small subunit ribosomal RNA
Source: RNAcentral